This is a non-coding RNA of Potamilus streckersoni, 73 nucleotides long. The record is from the annotation of a GenBank genome assembly. Lineage: Eukaryota; Metazoa; Mollusca; Bivalvia; Unionida; Unionidae.
GCUUCGGUGGCCUAGUGGUUAGAGUAUCCACAUCAUAUGGAGGAGGUCAUGGGUUCGAAUCCUGACUGAGUCA